RNAcentral lists this ribosomal RNA (241 nucleotides) under uncultured Staphylococcus sp. RNAcentral describes it as "partial 16S ribosomal RNA". It matches the Rfam family "Bacterial small subunit ribosomal RNA", at positions 99 to 334 of the family's 1533-position model. The record is from RNAcentral. Lineage: Bacteria; Bacillati; Bacillota; Bacilli; Caryophanales; Staphylococcaceae.
CGGACGGGUGAGUAACACGUGGAUAACCUACCUAUAAGACUGGGAUAACUUCGGGAAACCGGAGCUAAUACCGGAUAAUAUAUUGAACCGCAUGGUUCAAUAGUGAAAGACGGUUUUGCUGUCACUUAUAGAUGGAUCCGCGCCGCAUUAGCUAGUUGGUAAGGUAACGGCUUACCAAGGCAACGAUGCGUAGCCGACCUGAGAGGGUGAUCGGCCACACUGGAACUGAGACGCGGUCCAG